UCUAGAACUUGAGAUAUGGGCUGAACACUGAAUAGUGUCUGGGCUAUAAGACAGAUUUAGACGUCUCUUUUGAUGCUAAGAUUUGAACUUGAAAAUGAAAGAUUUGAAUCUUGAACUCUCAUGAAAGUUUUAGGCCUAUGUCUUAGCUUUCCAUC
Non-coding RNA from Populus trichocarpa (black cottonwood), 155 nucleotides. The record is from Rfam. NCBI's taxonomy places the organism in Eukaryota, Viridiplantae, Streptophyta, Magnoliopsida, Malpighiales, Salicaceae.